UACGAAGGGGCUAGCAUUGCUCGGAAUCACUGGGCGUAAAGGGUGCGUAGGCGGGUCUUUAAGUCAGGGUGAAAUCCUGGAGCUCAACUCCAGAACUGCCUUUGAUACUGAGGAUCUUGAGUUCGGGAGAGGUGAGUGGAACUGCGAGUGUAGAGGUGAAAUUCGUAGAUAUUCGCAAGAACACCAGUGGCGAAGGCGGCUCACUGGCCCGGUACUGACGCUGAGGUGCGAAAGCGUGGGGAGCAAACAGG
Molecule: ribosomal RNA, 251 nt
Filed under: uncultured bacterium
Lineage: Bacteria
Description: partial 16S ribosomal RNA
Rfam family: Bacterial small subunit ribosomal RNA
Source: RNAcentral